Equus quagga is the source of this 390-nucleotide long non-coding RNA. RefSeq lists it as uncharacterized. The record is from RefSeq and is a predicted model, not a curated record. The transcript is spliced from 3 exons. NCBI's taxonomy places the organism in Eukaryota, Metazoa, Chordata, Mammalia, Perissodactyla, Equidae.
CAAAACUGUCCUGAAAGCAAGUAAUGCUUUCGGUCGUUGUCACCUUCAUGAGGAACAAGCUGCAACUUCGCUUUCUGACUUCAUUCUCCCGGUGACAUUUUUCACACAGGCUCUGACAGAGACAGCAAUUAUAAAGACAUCCAGCAGAUAUAGAAGAUUCACUGUGAGCCAGGCCCUGGAGCUCAAUCUGAUUAAUUCAGCAGUAAACAAGGCGUGUUGGAUGCUGCCUUCAUGGAACCUCUACUCCACCUGGGAAGCAUCCCUUGGAGUUUUUCAGUGAGACUCAACCAAAAGAAUAAGAGAAAAAAAAAAUAUAUAUAUAUAUAUAUACACACACAGGAAGGUUGAUUGGGAGGUACAGCAACCACCUUUGGCAACUCUUAAAUCAUC